Molecule: ribosomal RNA, 465 nt
Filed under: Vreelandella stevensii
Lineage: Bacteria; Pseudomonadati; Pseudomonadota; Gammaproteobacteria; Oceanospirillales; Halomonadaceae
Description: partial 16S ribosomal RNA
Rfam family: Bacterial small subunit ribosomal RNA
Source: RNAcentral
CCUACGGGGGGCAUCAGUGGGGAAUAUUGGACAAUGGGGGCAACCCUGAUCCAGCCAUGCCGCGUGUGUGAAGAAGGCCCUCGGGUUGUAAAGCACUUUCAGUGAGGAAGAACGCCUGGUGGUUAAUACCCAUCAGGAAAGACAUCACUCACAGAAGAAGCACCGGCUAACUCCGUGCCAGCAGCCGCGGUAAUACGGAGGGUGCGAGCGUUAAUCGGAAUUACUGGGCGUAAAGCGCGCGUAGGUGGCUUGAUAAGCCGGUUGUGAAAGCCCCGGGCUCAACCUGGGAACGGCAUCCGGAACUGUCAAGCUAGAGUGCAGGAGAGGAAGGUAGAAUUCCCGGUGUAGCGGUGAAAUGCGUAGAGAUCGGGAGGAAUACCAGUGGCGAAGGCGGCCUUCUGGACUGACACUGACACUGAGGUGCGAAAGCGUGGGUAGCAAACAGGAUUAGAUACCCUUGUAGUC